CAGCAGCCGCGGUAAUACGUAAGUGGCAAGCGUUGUCCGGAAUUAUUGGGCGUAAAGGGCUCGCAGGCGGUUUCUUAAGUCUGAUGUGAAAGCCCCCGGCUCAACCGGGGAGGGUCAUUGGAAACUGGGAAACUUGGGUGCAGAAGAGGAGAGUGGAAUUCCACGUGUAGCGGUGAAAUGCGUAGAGAUGUGGAGGAACACCAGUGGCGAAGGCGACUCUCUGGUCUGUAACUGACGCUGAGGAGCGAAAGCGUGGGGAGCGAACAGGAUUAGAUACCCCUGUAGUCCCUGUCUCUUAUAC
Molecule: ribosomal RNA, 301 nt
Filed under: uncultured bacterium
Lineage: Bacteria
Description: partial 16S ribosomal RNA
Rfam family: Bacterial small subunit ribosomal RNA
Source: RNAcentral